RNAcentral lists this unclassified non-coding RNA (232 nucleotides) under fungal sp. RNAcentral describes it as "partial internal transcribed spacer region". The stretch from base 1 to 49 matches the Rfam family "Eukaryotic small subunit ribosomal RNA", at positions 1783 to 1831 of the family's 1831-position model. The record is from RNAcentral. Lineage: Eukaryota; Fungi.
UACAAGUCGUAACAAGGUAUCCGUAGGUGAACCUGCGGAUGGAUCAUUACCAAAGGAUUAACUUCCUACGUACUGUGAACUGUUUUGACUGUGACAGUCAGUGCUCUGUGGCCCUUCGUGGACGCUGGUGCUGGCUGUACAACUUGACACGUAUGUUUCCAAUUCAGACUGAAUUACUGCUUUAGUACACUAAACUAAAGACAACUUUUAGCAAUGGAUCUCUUGGUUCUCG